AACGAACGCUGGCGGCAUGCCUAACACAUGCAAGUCGAACGAGACCUUCGGGUCUAGUGGCGCACGGGUGCGUAACGCGUGGGAACCUGCCCUUAGGUUCGGAAUAACUCCCCGAAAGGGGUGCUAAUACCGGAUAAUGUCUUCGGACCAAAGAUUUAUCGCCUUUGGAUGGGCCCGCGUUGGAUUCGCUAGUUGGUAGGGUAAAAGCCUACCAAGGCGACGAUCCAUAGCUGGUCUGAGAGGAUGAUCAGCCACGCUGGGACUGAGACACGGCCCAGACUCCUACGGGAGGCAGCAGUGGGGAAUAUUGGACAAUGGGCGAAAGCCUGAUCCAGCAAUGCCGCGUGAGUGAUGAAGGCCUUAGGGUUGUAAAGCUCUUUUACCCGGGAUGAUAAUGACAGUACCGGGAGAAUAAGAUCCGGCUAACUCCGUG
RNAcentral lists this ribosomal RNA (433 nucleotides) under uncultured bacterium. RNAcentral describes it as "partial 16S ribosomal RNA". It matches the Rfam family "Bacterial small subunit ribosomal RNA", at positions 29 to 507 of the family's 1533-position model. The record is from RNAcentral.